RNAcentral lists this transfer RNA (73 nucleotides) under Sarcophilus harrisii (Tasmanian devil). It matches the Rfam family "tRNA". Rfam says of the family: Transfer RNA (tRNA) molecules are approximately 80 nucleotides in length. Their secondary structure includes four short double-helical elements and three loops (D, anti-codon, and T loops). Lineage: Eukaryota; Metazoa; Chordata; Mammalia; Dasyuromorphia; Dasyuridae. The record is from Rfam by way of RNAcentral.
AUCUAGGUGGCACAGUGGUUAGAGUACCUGGUCUAAUAUCAGAAAAAUUUGAGUUCAAAUCCUGCCUUAGAUA